CGCUGCCCAAUGGGCGGGUAGAGGAGGAGUCGGCCUCGCUCUGGUUCAGGCAGCUGCUAUAUAAUAGUCUCUGAGCGACAUUCCUUCCCUUUUUCCUGCGGAGAAUCGGAGAGACUGGUUCAAGUUGAGGGAACUAUGGAAAUAAACUUCAUGGUGAUAUCCUGGAAGUUGUGCAGAAUAAUUAAGGAGUCCCCUGUCAUCGCAUAGGUAGACAAUACUUCAGCUCUUCAUGAAAACAUCAACAGUUCUAGAAGACUAUAUGAUGUACAAUUGUGGAUGUUCCUGAAUAUUUAAGACAGAAUGUGACUUAUUAGCAAGUAUCCAGUGGAUAAUGAAUCAGUGAAUGAAUAACUGACAGCGCAGUUGGGAUAUAAAACUACUUGUGAUAUAAAACUACUUGCGACUCUAGUACUACUAAAGCAGAGAUCUUUGAAGGCUGGCUCAAUAUUAAAGUGAAAUGGUGGAAAAUGUAGGAGCAGAUGCAUUUAGUUAUUCAGUGAUGAGGUGGAAUUUUUGUUUCGUCACCUGACAAGUGUGGAUAGUAUCACUGAAAGAAGUCUGGCACCUGAAGAUACUCAGAUACCAAGAUUUUAACAACAAAAAAUGUUACCAGGUUUAUGCUUCUGAAAUAGUUUGUGGAGUUUGGUAGUUAAUAUUUCUGAAACUUCACAUGGCCCAGAAUCAGUUGGUCUCUGCUUCUUUUAAAACAAUGAGCAAUCAUGUUUUGUGGAAAUCUGAAGAUCUUGCCAAAAUUGAAGACCCAGCUCCCUCUAGUGAAACCAAAGCUGUCUUAUAAUAGGGAAACUGCAUGUGGGAUCAAAGAGAAAAUUCAGUUUUGCUAAAAUCAGUCUGGGAACAGAAGAUGUUAAAUCUGUCAUGACUUCUCUCAGAUUAUGGUGGCUGAAGGGAAAUAGAACAUAAAAUCUAAUUUUUCCCCACUGUUUAGCAGGAGAGGCUUCUCAGUAAACAAAAUAUUAAGGGCAACAAACAGGCUUCAGGGGGAAAAACUUAAAGUGGCUAGCCAGUUUCCUGUGAAGGAAAUAAAAGCACAAUAAAGAAAUAAAGCAUGCUUUGAUAUUACUGGCGAAAAAGGUAUGCCCUGGACCGUAAUAAAAUAGGCAAUGGAAAACCCAGGCACCUUCUGUGGAAAGAUGGUGAGAGCACUAAUUAAUGUAGAAAAUCAUAGUAAUGAGGCUUCUCCCUCUGAGAGCAAUUUCAUUCAGGAAGUGAAAGAGGAAGAUCAGUUGGUGGUAUUGAUCAGUGAAGCCACUGAGGAAGCAAAGAUCAAACAUUUGUAAGAAAGCAAAAUUCAACACUCUUCGUAGGAGUUGUGGUCACAAGAGAAAACUAGGCUUAAACCACAGCCUGGGUUCUGUUUAGGCUGGUGGGGAAAGAAGUAGGUUUUUAUGCACUGCUGCUCAACUGCAUGAUAAGACCAAUGCAUUGGUGUGGAACUCUUUUCUGUUGAGUAGAAAGAUGCUAGUAAUGUUAUGUUUUUUGUGGAAGAGGACCACCCAGGAAUUUGUUUUAAGAAACUUCUUGAAAAAUAACCAUGCCAUAAUGUGGGAGAAACAUCUCUGCAUUCAGCAACUAAGUACUAAUGCAGUAGGGAAAGAGGUAGAGGGGACAGGUCAUAACAUCUGAUAAAUUGCGGUCCACAACUAUUCCAGUCAGUGGCAUACCAUCCAGUAUGCUUUUUAAUGUUAGGAAGGGAAGCAGAUACACAGGCAAACUACCCAUCGACUGACACACUUUGAUAUGUCUUUCAGAGUUGAUUAAGAAAAAUCAUCCUGUAAUCUCCAUGAUUAAUACAAAACUGGCAACAAUGCUAGCAGUGGGGCUGCAGCCCUUUUAUUGUCAGGCAGAGGGCUUUCCAGGCACUAAUGGAAUACCCCAUUCCCAAGUGGCAAAUACCUAGC
This is a non-coding RNA of Chelonoidis abingdonii (Abingdon island giant tortoise), 1919 nucleotides long. Lineage: Eukaryota; Metazoa; Chordata; Testudines; Testudinidae. The record is from RefSeq and is a predicted model, not a curated record.